This 526-nucleotide small RNA is filed under the name Pongo abelii (Sumatran orangutan). RNAcentral describes it as "retained intron". The record is from RNAcentral. Lineage: Eukaryota; Metazoa; Chordata; Mammalia; Primates; Hominidae.
CCAGCCCAUUAACCCCUGUCCUCUCCUGCCCUUAGGGACAUGCGGCUAUCAAUCACGGGGACCUUGGCAGAGAGCAUUGUGGCUCAGGCUUUGGCAGGCCUGAGUGCAGCCCGGGAUCGGCUGGUGGAGAGUCUGGCUCAGCAGGCAACAGUGACAAUGCCCCCUGCCCUACCAGCACCAGAUGGAGGUGAGCCCAGCCUCCUUGAGCCUGGGGAAUUGGAAGGUCUUUUCUUCCCCGAGGAGAAGGAAGAGGAGGAGGAGAAGGAUGACAGUCCUCCACAGAAACGGCCUGAGCUCAGCCACGGUCUUCACCUGGUCCCCUUCAUUCACAGUGCUGCUGAGGAAACGGAGCCGGAGCCCGAGCUGGCGGCUCCGGGAGAAGAUGCGGAGCCGCAGGCGGGGCCGUCCGCGCGCGGCUCUCCGAGCCCUGCCGCCCCCGGGCCCCCGGCCGGCCCGCUGCCCCGCAUGGACCUGCCACCGGCGGGGCAGCCCCUGCGCCAUCCGACCCGGGCCCGGCCGCGGCCGC